Molecule: ribosomal RNA, 119 nt
Filed under: Pteropus vampyrus (large flying fox)
Lineage: Eukaryota; Metazoa; Chordata; Mammalia; Chiroptera; Pteropodidae
Source: RNAcentral
UCAGAUCAGUCUAUGGCCAUGAACAAGCCCGAUCCUGUCUGAUCUCGGAACCUAAGCAGGGUCGAGCCUGGUUAGUACUUGGAUGGGAGACCACCCUGGUAGACCAGGUGCUAUAGGAG